This is a small nucleolar RNA of Tachyglossus aculeatus (Australian echidna), 138 nucleotides long. The record is from RefSeq and is a predicted model, not a curated record. Lineage: Eukaryota; Metazoa; Chordata; Mammalia; Monotremata; Tachyglossidae.
CCCCUCUCAGGAUCAUGCCUGAAGAGUUUCUACUACUCUACCAGUCUUGGCUAUGGGAGAGAGAGCCAAGCAGAGGCCUACCCAUUCCAUUCCUAGCUUGCACAGUGGUUAGCGAGUGGAAGGCAAUCUGCUACACGU